Lagenorhynchus albirostris (white-beaked dolphin) is the source of this 553-nucleotide long non-coding RNA. RefSeq lists it as uncharacterized. The transcript is spliced from 3 exons. Lineage: Eukaryota; Metazoa; Chordata; Mammalia; Artiodactyla; Delphinidae. The record is from RefSeq and is a predicted model, not a curated record.
AUUGGAAUUACACGUAGGACUCUACGUGACUUUGCUUUCUUUCUCUCUUAGCCUCCCUUUCCUUCAACUGACUUUCUCCCAAAUCCAAGUCCCUGCCCAUUAAAUACCAUAGACAGCGCUGCCCCACACAGCUGUGGGUCCAUCAAGAACUGCUAUGUAUGUGACCAGUCUCUUUCUCAUCCUGGAGCCUGUGUUAGCAUCUGAUGCUACACACGCCCAAAGCAAGAACCUGUGAGUAUGUUAGUAUGCAUGGUGUAAAAGACUCUGCAGAUGUGACCCAGUUAAGGAUCUUGAGAUGGGGAGAGGAACCUGGAUUAUCUGGGUGGGCUCAAUAUAAUCACAAGGGACCUUAUAAGAAGGAGGAAAGAAGACACAGGCAGAAGGAGGAGUAGGCACAAAGGAAGCAGAGGUUGGAGUGAGAUGCUUUGAAGAUGGAAGAAGAGGCUGUGAGCCAGGGAUGCAGAUGGCCUCUUGAAACUGGAGAAGACAAGGAAACAGAUUCCCCCCGAUUCUUCCAGAAGGAACGUAGCUCUAGCAUCUUUAUUUUAGACUU